CAGCUCCUUCGAUGUUUUGUGUGUUGGCAGAAAAUCCAAACGGUUUGUUUGGUACGACUAAACCCUGAGCUCUCCCCUCCCCAACGGCUCAGGGUUUUUUUUGCCUGUUA
Molecule: small RNA, 110 nt
Filed under: Atopomonas hussainii
Lineage: Bacteria; Pseudomonadati; Pseudomonadota; Gammaproteobacteria; Pseudomonadales; Pseudomonadaceae
Description: Pseudomonas hussainii Pseudomon-1/ErsA RNA
Rfam family: Pseudomon-1/ErsA RNA
About the family: Functions to regulate the AlgC enzyme. Based on this information, the new name ErsA for the RNA was adopted. Negatively regulates major porin oprD expression responsible for uptake of carbapenem antibiotics, by base pairing with oprD 5'UTR (leading to increased bacterial resistance to meropenem).
Source: Rfam by way of RNAcentral